Molecule: ribosomal RNA, 570 nt
Filed under: Pseudomonas sp. LCY11
Lineage: Bacteria; Pseudomonadati; Pseudomonadota; Gammaproteobacteria; Pseudomonadales; Pseudomonadaceae
Description: bacterial SSU rRNA
Rfam family: Bacterial small subunit ribosomal RNA
Source: RNAcentral
AGAGUUUGAUCCUGGCUCAGAUUGAACGCUGGCGGCAGGCCUAACACAUGCAAGUCGAGCGGUAGAGAGAAGCUUGCUUCUCUUGAGAGCGGCGGACGGGUGAGUAAUGCCUAGGAAUCUGCCUGGUAGUGGGGGAUAACGUUCGGAAACGGACGCUAAUACCGCAUACGUCCUACGGGAGAAAGCAGGGGACCUUCGGGCCUUGCGCUAUCAGAUGAGCCUAGGUCGGAUUAGCUAGUUGGUGGGGUAAUGGCUCACCAAGGCGACGAUCCGUAACUGGUCUGAGAGGAUGAUCAGUCACACUGGAACUGAGACACGGUCCAGACUCCUACGGGAGGCAGCAGUGGGGAAUAUUGGACAAUGGGCGAAAGCCUGAUCCAGCCAUGCCGCGUGUGUGAAGAAGGUCUUCGGAUUGUAAAGCACUUUAAGUUGGGAGGAAGGGUUGUAGAUUAAUACUCUGCAAUUUUGACGUUACCGACAGAAUAAGCACCGGCUAACUCUGUGCCAGCAGCCGCGGUAAUACAGAGGGUGCAAGCGUUAAUCGGAAUUACUGGGCGUAAAGCGCGCGUA